AGUGAACGCUGGCGGUAGGCCUAACACAUGCAAGUCGAACGGCAGCACAGUAAGAGCUUGCUCUUACGGGUGGCGAGUGGCGGACGGGUGAGGAAUACAUCGGAAUCUACUUUUUCGUGGGGGAUAACGUAGGGAAACUUACGCUAAUACCGCAUACGACCUACGGGUGAAAGCAGGGGAUCUUCGGACCUUGCGCGAUUGAAUGCGCCGAUGUCGGAUUAGCUAGUUGGCGGGGUAAAGGCCCACCAAGGCGACGAUCCGUAGCUGGUCUGAGAGAAUGGUCGGCGACACUGGAAGUGAGACACGGUCCAGACUCCUACGGGAGGCAGCAGUGGGGAAUAUUGGACAAUGGGCGCAAGCAUGAUCCAGCCAGACCGCGUGGGUGAAGAAGGCCUUCGGGUUGUAAAGCCCUUUUGUUGGGAAAGAAAAGCAGCAGGUUAAUACCCAGCUGUUCUGACGGUACCCAAAGAAUAAGCACCGGCUAACUUCGUG
Molecule: ribosomal RNA, 492 nt
Filed under: uncultured bacterium
Lineage: Bacteria
Description: partial 16S ribosomal RNA
Rfam family: Bacterial small subunit ribosomal RNA
Source: RNAcentral